UACGUAGGUGGCAAGCGUUGUCCGGAUUUAUUGGGUUUAAAGGGUGCGUAGGCGGCCCUGUAAGUCAGUGCUGAAAUAUCCCAGCUUAACUGGGAGGGUGGCAUUGAUACUGCGGGGCUAGAGUACAGAUGAGGUAGGCGGAAUUGACGGUGUAGCGGUGAAAUGCUUAGAUAUCGGCAAGAACACCUAUAGCGAAGGCAGCUUACUAGGCUGUAACUGACGCUGAGGCACGAAAGUGUGGGGAUCAAACAGG
RNAcentral lists this ribosomal RNA (253 nucleotides) under uncultured bacterium. RNAcentral describes it as "partial 16S ribosomal RNA". It matches the Rfam family "Bacterial small subunit ribosomal RNA", at positions 524 to 776 of the family's 1533-position model. The record is from RNAcentral.